CACCGGCGGCUCGAGUGGUAACCGUUAUUAUUGGGUCUAAAGGGUCUGUAGCCGGCCGGAUAAGUCUCUUGAGAAAUCUGGCAGCUUAACUGUCAGGCUUUCAGGAGAUACUAUUAGACUUGAGACCGGGAGAGGUUAGAGGUACUCCCAGGGUAGAGGUGAAAUUCUGUAAUCCUGGGAGGACCGCCUGUUGCGAAGGCGUCUAACUGGAACGGUUCUGACGGUGAGGGACGAAAGUUAGGGGCGCGAACCGGAUUAGAUACCCCUGUAGUCCCUGAGCGGGCUGGCAAGG
This 292-nucleotide ribosomal RNA is filed under the name uncultured prokaryote. RNAcentral's name for it is "partial 16S ribosomal RNA". It matches the Rfam family "Archaeal small subunit ribosomal RNA", at positions 474 to 771 of the family's 1478-position model. The record is from RNAcentral.